CCCUUAGAGUUUGAUCCUGGCUCAGAGUGAACGCUGGCGGCAGGCCUAACACAUGCAAGUCGAACGGCAGCACAGCAGUAGCGAUACUGUGGGUGGCGAGUGGCGGACGGGUGAGGAAUGCAUCGGAAUCUGCCUAUUUGUGGGGGAUAACGUAGGGAAACUUACGCUAAUACCGCAUACGUCCUACGGGAGAAAGUGGGGGACCUUCGGGCCUCACGCAGGUAGAUGAGCCGAUGCCGGAUUAGCUAGUUGGCGGGGUAAAGGCCCACCAAGGCGACGAUCCGUAGCUGGUCUGAGAGGAUGAUCAGCCACACUGGAACUGAGACACGGUCCAGACUCCUACGGGAGGCAGCAGUGGGGAAUAUUGGACAAUGGGCGCAAGCCUGAUCCAGCCAUGCCGCGUGUGUGAAGAAGGCCUUCGGGUUGUAAAGCACUUUUGUCCGGAAAGAAAAGCUUCGGGUUAAUAACCCGGGGUUAUGACGGUACCGGAAGAAUAAGCACCGGCUAACUUCGUGCCAGCAGCCGCGGUAAUACGAAGGGUGCAAGCGUUACUCGGAAUUACUGGGCGUAAAGCGUGCGUAGGUGGUUUGUUAAGUCUGAUGUGAAAGCCCUGGGCUCAACCUGGGAACUGCAUUGGAAACUGGCUGACUAGAGUGCGGUAGAGGGGUGUGGAAUUCCCGGUGUAGCAGUGAAAUGCGUAGAUAUCGGGAGGAACAUCUGU
This 721-nucleotide ribosomal RNA is filed under the name uncultured bacterium. RNAcentral describes it as "bacterial SSU rRNA". It matches the Rfam family "Bacterial small subunit ribosomal RNA", at positions 1 to 713 of the family's 1533-position model. The record is from RNAcentral.